UAACACGUGGGGAACCUGCCCCAUAGUCUGGGAUACCACUUGGAAACAGGUGCUAAUACCGGAUAAGAAAGCGGAUCGCAUGAUCAGCUUUUAAAAGGCGGCGUAAGCUGUCGCUAUGGGAUGGCCCCGCGGUGCAUUAGCUAGUUGGUAAGGUAAAGGCUUACCAAGGCGAUAAUGCAUAGCCGAGUUGAGAGACUGAUCGGCCACAUUGGGACUGAGACACGGCCCAAACUCCUACGGGAGGCAGCAGCC
Molecule: ribosomal RNA, 252 nt
Filed under: uncultured Lactobacillus sp.
Lineage: Bacteria; Bacillati; Bacillota; Bacilli; Lactobacillales; Lactobacillaceae
Description: partial 16S ribosomal RNA
Rfam family: Bacterial small subunit ribosomal RNA
Source: RNAcentral